RNAcentral lists this long non-coding RNA (1794 nucleotides) under Trifolium pratense (red clover). RNAcentral's name for it is "long non-coding RNA (TPRA_LNC004443)". The record is from RNAcentral. Lineage: Eukaryota; Viridiplantae; Streptophyta; Magnoliopsida; Fabales; Fabaceae.
AUAUCAAUUUAAAUGAGUUUAUGUUGUCAACUGCAACUUACUCAUUUAAACAAUAAGAAGAAAAGUUGUUGCAUAAGCAUGCCUAUAAUACACCACAAACCAAACAAAAGAUAAACGAUAAGAAAAAUUAGGAAGUUUUCAUAGGACCACUGUACCUGUACCACAUACCUUGUGAUCUUGAAUCAGAUUAGUUCCACACCCUUCAUCAAAAUCAAACACACACAGUUCAACAUUGUAGGAAAAAAAGAGGUAAAAAGGACAAUUACUAAUUUAGAAGGCUUGGUCAUAUACUAGAAUAUUUACAAUUGAUGCUUAGAGUUAGGGAUAUGCAAUUCCACAUAAUCAACAAAGUCACCUAAAAUGUGCACACAAGAAUGCAACAUGUACCAUUUCUUCCAAUUCAACNNNNNNNNNNNNNNNNNNNNNNNNNNNNNNNNNNNNNNNNNCUAUUUGCUUUAAUCUUCCCUCUAGACUAGAUGUAGCUUCUUAACCUGAAAGUUAAUUUAAAGUGAUUCAAGUUAUCACAUAUGCUUAACUAAAACCUCUAACAUUACAAUUAACACAAGAAAAAGAACAUAACUUACUUACCCUCUAGCCCAUGGAGGUAUAGAGGAAUUGGAAGUACUAGCAGCCAAUUUUAUAGCUAGUUAAUAGACAUUGACAGAUGAAAGGUUUUGCAGUUUCCUUAGAAGAAGUGGACUAAAACAAUUGUCCUAUAUACUCAUGUACUUUCUAGUUCUCCAGAAAUCGUAAAUAAACAAUAGCAUUAUAAACGAGUAGUGUCUGAUUGUGUGUCAAUGACAAAGAUGUCAUAGAUGAGGUUGAAGGUAUGGAUCAAAAGAAAAGAAUUGAAACCAACAAUAAUGUGCUAAGGUAUAACAUAACAAGAAUUAUGCACCGAUUACCAUUUAACAUUAAAAUAAAAAAGAUUCAUUCUUAACCAAUAGUCCUUAUCAUACAACUUAAAGCAUAUAACUAUUCUUAAUAGUUAAAACCUCAUUCAUUUGUUGUCCUCUUUACCUGUUCAGUAGCUACAAAGCGACAAACUAUGAGUUAGGAACAUAAUUAAUUAAUGAGAGAACAAAAUUAUCAAUACCAUAAUCACAAUAAUCAAAUAUUUGAANNNNNNNNNNNNNNNNNNNNNNNNNNNNNNNCAACAGAACAAUUAAUUAUGCUAUAUUGCUUACAAUGCUUCACAUAAACCAUACUUAUAAUGCUUCAUAUGAACCAUACUAUAACAACCACAUAAACCAAUCAACAAAUCAAUGAUUAAAUUUCAGAAAUACUCAAUAGAAGCUAAUAAAUCAAUUUCCAAUUACCUAAUUACCAAUUUAUAGGGAACAUUGGAACAAUAACUAAAAAAUUUACAAAAUAAUAAAUUGAACCUGCGUUGAACAAUGAACAAAACUAAAUUUAAGCUUGAGAGGUUAUGAAUCGAAGCUUUGUUGAGAAACUGAAUUGAAGCCUGAUAAGCUGAGAAGGAUUUCGUCCUAGCUUUGCUGAAUCGAAGCUUGAGAGAACGAUUCUGAAUAGCUGAAGUUGAACGGAAAUUCAAUUGAACGAUUCCGAAUCUUGAGAGAUGAACGAUUCUGAAAGUUGAACUAAAAUUCAAUUGAACGAUUCUGAACCUUGAGGGAUGAACGAUUCUGAAUGAGAGAACGAUUAUGAAUCGAAGUUGAACUGAAACUCAAUUGAACGAUUUUUAGAAUCGAAGAUUUGCUGAAAUGAAACUUAGGGUUGAACAAUUCUCAGAGAAAAAUGAGACGGUUGUUGUUGUUUGUUCCAACUUCCUUC